GCCUGCGGAGGGAUCAUURCUGAGUUACCGCUCUAUAACCCUUUGUGAACGUACCUAACCGUUGCUUCGGCGGGCAGGGGAAGCCUCUCGCGGGCCUCCCCUCCCGGCGCCGGCCCCCACCACGGGGACGGGGCGCCCGCCGGAGGAAACCAAACUCUAUUUACACGACGUCUCUUCUGAGUGGCACAAGCAAAUAAUUAAAACUUUUAACAACGGAUCUCUUGGUUCUGGCAUCGAUGAAGAACGCAGCGAAAUGCGAUAAGUAAUGUGAAUUGCAGAAUUCAGUGAAUCAUCGAAUCUUUGAACGCACAUUGCGCUCGCCAGCAUUCUGGCGAGCAUGCCUGUUCGAGCGUCAUUUCAACCCUCAAGCACCGCUUGGUUUUGGGGCCCCACGGCCGACGUGGGCCCUUAAAGGUAGUGGCGGACCCUCCCGGAGCCUCCUUUGCGUAGUAACUAACGUCUCGCACUGGGAUCCGGAGGGACUCUUGCCGUUAAACCCCCAAAUUCUUUACAGGUUGACCUCGGAUCAGGUAGGAAURCCCGCUGAACUUAAGCAUAUCAUAAACCGGGAGAGGA
Molecule: ribosomal RNA, 576 nt
Filed under: Colletotrichum acutatum
Lineage: Eukaryota; Fungi; Ascomycota; Sordariomycetes; Glomerellales; Glomerellaceae
Description: eukaryotic LSU rRNA
Rfam family: 5.8S ribosomal RNA (bases 202-355)
Source: RNAcentral